CCUACGGGGGGCAGCAGUGGGGAAUAUUGCACAAUGGGCGCAAGCCUGAUGCAGCCAUGCCGCGUGUGUGAAGAAGGCCUUCGGGUUGUAAAGCACUUUCAGCGGGGAGGAAGGCGGUGAGGUUAAUAACCUCAUCGAUUGACGUUACCCACAGAAGAAGCACCGGCUAACUCCGUGCCAGCAGCCGCGGUAAUACGGAGGGUGCAAGCGUUAAUCGGAAUUACUGGGCGUAAAGCGCACGCAGGCGGUCUGUCAAGUCGGAUGUGGAAUCCCCGGGCUCAACCUGGGAACUGCAUUCGAAACUGGCAGGCUAGAGUCUUGUAGAGGGGGGUAGAAUUCCAGGUGUAGCGGUGAAAUGCGUAGAGAUCUGGAGGAAUACCGGUGGCGAAGGCGGCCCCCUGGACAAAGACUGACGCUCAGGUGCGAAAGCGUGGGGAGCAAACAGGAUUAGAUACCCUAGUAGUC
This 465-nucleotide ribosomal RNA is filed under the name uncultured Klebsiella sp. Its description in RNAcentral is "bacterial SSU rRNA". It matches the Rfam family "Bacterial small subunit ribosomal RNA", at positions 338 to 795 of the family's 1533-position model. The record is from RNAcentral. Lineage: Bacteria; Pseudomonadati; Pseudomonadota; Gammaproteobacteria; Enterobacterales; Enterobacteriaceae.